RNA transcript from Phragmites australis (common reed), 2298 nucleotides. RefSeq lists it as uncharacterized. The transcript is spliced from 5 exons. NCBI's taxonomy places the organism in Eukaryota, Viridiplantae, Streptophyta, Magnoliopsida, Poales, Poaceae. The record is from RefSeq and is a predicted model, not a curated record.
CACUAGGCUAGUCUCCCUCGAUGAACACCGACCGCACCGCACCGCAGCCGCAGCUCCCUCUCGAUUCGGCCGCGACCGCGAACCCCCUCCUUCCACCGAAGAACGGCAGGCAGCCGGUCGCACUUCCCCCGCCCACGCGUCGAUUGGAUUGGGUUGGAUUGCUGAUCCAUCCCAAUUUAGGGUUGUUUUCUUUCGUUGCUGGUUCAACUCGCGUGGAUGCAUUGACCACAAGGAGAGUAAUUUCUUUGGCGAAGAACAGUUUUAGACGCUUUUACAGAUUUGGGGUAUUGCAAUGGAGAUACUUAACGGUAAGGGUAUUCUCAUCAUUGUCGGGGGAAAAUAUUGUUUCUGUAAUUCAACCUUCUCAACAUUUUAGUUCAAUAGUUGGAAUCGUCAAUCGUGUAUUGCCAGCUUCUGUCAUUUACUACUGGAUCCUUAAUUCAGGUGUUUGCUUUAGCUCGAUAGCCAUCAACAGAACCAGAAAAAGCAAGUUAGUGAAGGUGGGAUCCCAACAUCAACGAGUUGGCUGGGCUUCAUCAAGGACAUGUUGUGAGUACUCUCCUGAUACUGCUAGAAAGAGGCAGGAGAGGUAUCAGCAACCCCAGAAUGUUGAUCUCCCUGAAAUACAACCAAAAAACAAAAAGAAGCCCUUUCCUGUUCCAAUUAAAAAGAUGUUGCAAGCUUCUCGGAGAGAUAAGAGGCUUGCGCAAAUGCGGAUAGAGAAGGCUCUUGAACCCCCAAAGAACGGUUUGCUUGUACCAGAGCUUGUUCCUGUUGCUUAUGAAGUUCUUGAUAACUGGAAAGUGCUCAUCCGAGGACUCUCUCAACUUCUGAAUGUUGUUACAGUUUAUGGUUGCAGAAAGUGCCCUCAAGUCCAUAUUGGUCCGGUUGGCCACCAGAUUCAAGACUGCUACGGUUCAGGAAGCCAGCGUCGGAAUAGUCAUCACUCUUGGGUUAGAGGCUCCAUCAAUGACGUCCUCAUCCCGAUCGAGUCUUACCAUCUUUUUGAUCCAUUUGGGCGGAGAGUCAAGCACGAGACCAGGUUUGACUAUGACAGGAUUCCAGCAAUCGUUGAGCUAUGCAUUCAGGCUGGUGUCGACUUACCACAAUAUCCGUCAAGGCGACGGACUGCUCCUGUCCGGAUGAUAGGUAAGAAGGUGAUUGACCGUGGUGGGUUUGUUGAUGAGCCUAAGCCACAGCGGUCAGAAGACUGUGUAUCUCUGCUUGCUGAACUCGACACUUUUAGCAACCAACAGGGCCAGUCAUCCUCACCAUCCAAUGUGAAAGAGCUUGCAGAUAGGACUUUGAAAGCUUAUAUCAAUGUCAGGCAAGGCGUUGGGCAGCUGAUGAGCAAGUACACUGUGAAAGCAUGUGGGUACUGCUCUGAGGUCCAUGUUGGUCCAUGGGGGCACAAUGUGAAGCUCUGCGGGUCUUUCAAGCACCAGUGGAGGGAUGGCAAGCAUGGGUGGCAGGAUGCGGUAGUGGAUGAGGUCAUCCCCCCAAAUUACGUGUGGCAUGUCCCUGACCCCAAUGGCCCUCCUCUCAGAUCCUCUCUUAGGAGUUUUUAUGGCAAAGCUCCGGCCGUUGUCGAGCUGUGUGUACAGGCAGGAGCUAAAAUACCUGACGAGUAUCGGCCGAUGAUGAGGACUGACAUUGUCAUCCCAGACUCUGAGGAAUCUCGGAUGGUUGUGUAACAACAGUCUUCUACUUCUACCCUGCAGUUCAGUAGUUCUCCACCAACCAAAGGUGCCGUUUCCCAGGCAUGUGGGGCUGUUGGCCCUGUAAUCGUAUUGCUUAGGGAGCAGCAAAUGCAUAGCCUGUAUAAUACAAGUAGCAUGGCUGAACCAUGAUCAACCAGUUUUAAAAUUAUUCACAGAGUUGGUUUAAGUAUUCGUCGAAAGGUUAAACGCAUGAACCGAGGAUGCACGGCGACAAACCUGAAAGGGAAAAGGAUGGCCUCCGCAACUUGUAUGAUGUACAUACCAUCUUGUUUAAUGGCCGCAGCUGCUUUAUUCUUGCCUAUGCUAGACUGUGAGGCACUUACAAUGCUCAGGCACGGCCAUACAGAUGGCCUCCCCUUUCUCUGCCGGUGUAGUCUGGUACUAUGCUUAAUUGUGAGCUAAUUCUUUGAAUUAAACUAAUCGCAGAGGUUUUGUUCGGGUAUUUGUGCGCCUGGCUGUAAUUAAUCAUGGACUAAAAGCUGCCCGAUUGUGCCCGUCCCCAGAUCAACACUCUGGGGCUAUGGCGGCAUGUAUACUCCUAUCAGAUCAUCAGUAUAUUGUGUUCCCCUUUUUUCUC